UAAACAAAAGGUUUGGUCCUAGCCUUAUUAUUAAUGUUAAUUAGACCUACACAUGCAAGUUUCCACUAUCCUGUGAGAAUACCGUCAAAACUAUCUAACCAAAAGAUAAGAGGAGCUGGUAUCGGGCACACUAAUAGUAGCCAAUUACACCUUGCUUAACCACACCCCCACAGGAAACUGCAGUGAUUAAAAUUAAGCUAUAAACGAAAGUUUGACUAAAUCAUAAUUAUUUUCUUAAGGGUUGGUAAAUUUCGUGCCAGCCACCUCAGUCAUACGAUUAACCCAAAUUAACAAAUCUUCGGCAUAAAGCAUGUUUAACAAAAAUUUCAAAGUAAAGUUAAUACUUAACUAAACUGUAAUACGCUCUAGCUAAUACUAAAAUAAAUUAUUAAAAUAACUUUAACAAAGCUGACACACGACAACUAAGAUACAAACUGGGAUUAGAUACCCCACUAUGCUUAGUCGUAAACUAAAAUAGUUAAAUAACAAAACUAUUCACCAGAGAACUACUAGCUAUUGCUUAAAACUCAAAAGACUUGGCGGUGCCCUAAACCCACCUAGAGGAGCCUGUUCUAUAAUCUAUAAACCCCGAUAUACCCAGCCCUGUCUUGCCAAUUCAGCCUAUAUACCACCAUCAUCAGCCCACCUUAAAAAAGACAAAAAGUAAGCAAAACUACUUUCCAUAAAAACAUUAGGUCAAGGUGUAGCACAUGAAAGGGAAAGAAAUGGGCUACAUUCUCUAAUUUAGAGAAUAAUGAAUCACAUUAUGAAACUAAAGUGCUUGAAGGAGGAUUUAGUAGUAAAUUAAGAAUAGAAUGCUUAAUUGAAUUAGGCAAUAGGGAGCACACACACUGCCCGUCACCCUACUCAACUCAAUUAAUUAAUGUAUCUAAUACUUCAUUUAAACAAAGAGGAGAAAAGUCGUAACAUGGUAAGUGUACUGGAAAGUGCACUUGGAAUAUCAAAAUG
This 969-nucleotide non-coding RNA is filed under the name Monodelphis domestica (gray short-tailed opossum). The record is from Rfam by way of RNAcentral. Lineage: Eukaryota; Metazoa; Chordata; Mammalia; Didelphimorphia; Didelphidae.